This is a long non-coding RNA of Sinocyclocheilus grahami, 2262 nucleotides long. Ensembl lists it as uncharacterized. The record is from Ensembl. NCBI's taxonomy places the organism in Eukaryota, Metazoa, Chordata, Actinopteri, Cypriniformes, Cyprinidae.
AGAUUAGAUUUUGCUCUUCUAAUCCAACAGAUUAUCACUGCACACAACACUACUGACCAGUAGGGCUUUACAUUUCAACACAAUUCUCACGCAUUGAUCAUUUUCUACGUUCUUCACUGCAAAACAUUUCAACGAGGACCCUUUUACAAAAUCUGCAGGAAAUGGACUGACCACGGAUGGGAUUUAUGUCAUGUGGCGAUGCGUUUCCAUGAUAAUUCUAUUAGAGUCCAUGUGGAUGUCAGGCUUUAGAAAAUACUACACGCUGUCACUAAUGGAUAUAGGUGCUCAUCGGUUUGUCAGUUGAGCAGCAGCGACAUCAGUUUCUAUAAACCUGGUGUGUGGUGUGUGCUGGGAAGACAUUCAGCACUUUUAAGAAGAGAUAAAUGGUAUCCUUAGCACCGUGUGGGGACAUGGAACCAGAAGCUGAAGAAGCAGAGGAGACAUUGUUGGAGUCUGAGAUGUUUGUAAACACAAUUAGUGACAAACAGGAGGUGAAGAGUGAAGAAGCUAUUUUGCAGCCUUGGCAGGUGUUUCAAGAACCAAGCAUGGAGUUACAGAGAACGAAUAUCACAGGAAAGGAGAAUGGGAAGAAAACGGUAGGAGUCAAAGAGGAUGACGAAGGAAGUGAGGCAAAAAAUGAAACGGAUAAUAAAGUGGCAGAAGCGAUGAUGUGUGCUGAAAACUUAAGCAACAUGCCAACAGAUGCUAAUGACUCAAGCAGCGACCCAACCAAUGAGCCCAUCUCCUCAAAUUCUCACACCAGCCCACCUGAGACCAAUGAAUCAGACACAGGGGACAGCAGAAAACUGACAAAGAACCCCAGCUUUGGGAAAACAGUUCGUUUUAAGGAAAUUGAAGCAGUGGAAGAAAGGGACAGCUCAGUGGACACCCUUUUUUCAGACUUUGAGAUAGAAGAGUGGACCACCACCAGCUUUGAAGAGCUGUUUCUGGCAGAUGACUGGAAGGACAUUGCAGAUGAGCGUCUGAUAAGGAAGAAGGUGUUACAGGCCAGUCCCGAGAAUGCCCUGACCCCGGCUUGGGGUCAGGAAGUCACACUGAAAAUGCAGGGUGUGCUGGAGGAUAGGACUGUGGUGGAGAAAGACUGCAAGUUGGUCUUCGUUAUCGGAGAGGGAGAUGUCAACCAGGUGAGGCACAAAGACAGGCAGAGGAGGGGCAGCCUCAAACACACACACACACACACACAAACACACAAACACUCACAAGAAGCCCUGGAACACCCACCUGCAUCCUGCCUAUCACCUCACACCUGCUGCCUGUUGAGUUUUCCAUAGGGAUUAACCUGUGUUUUCACAUGUUGAGUUCUGUAUGUGUUUACCCAAGGCUGUGAAAAAGUCACCUCCUUGCUGAUUCACUUUCAGUGAAAAGUUAGUAAGGUCAAUCUUUUUUGCCAGCUUGUUUAGACACUUCAGACUGCGUUAAAGCCUUAUAAUAUGCAUUGCUUCCUUUAAGUUAUCUUGUUGAGAUCAUCAGUGCAUGUACAGUAAAAUCUAUAUGUGUUACCUGAAGUUUAAAAUGUGACUGUAUAGGCCCUGGAAGAGUGCACCAUUUCGAUGAAGCAAGGGGAGAUCGCAUUACUGCUUGCAGAUUCACAAUACACCUAUGGACAUCUGGGAAGGUAAGAAGGAAAAUAUACCUGUAUUAUUUAUCGAAUAACAUACACACUGACUGAGUUUUGGGCUUAAAUGCAAGCAGGUUUGGUGAAUUUAUGUUCUUUCACAUUCUGUUAUAAGUUAGAAAUUUAUAAGAAAUAAUUUUAGAAAGUUAUAAGGAAGUAAGGGAGGGUGGAGGACACUGCUGAACGGGUCUCUUGUGACAUCAAUUUAAAAAAGUCAAGUGGCUUCUAUCCUCACAGGGUGGGACAGAGUCAUUUUAUACCUGUUGCUCUCAGGGAAAAUGGCCUGUCCCCAGUAGCUUGUUAAAUGAACCAUGAACAGGAGCAGAUGGCCUUCCCAAAAUACCAUUGAGGGCAUUCAGGAACCCCUUCCCUCCCCUAUCCUCUCAAUUCGUUAACUACAGGCAAUACUUUUGUUUAACCACUUGCUUCAAUCAUUUAUUUAUACCAUGAAGGUGAAAAUUCAAUAAAAUGUAAGUUCAGUACUUACAUUGUUGAUGUGUAUAUUUUCAGAAGUAAAAAGACAAAACCAGUGUUGUCUGAAUCAGCACAUUCUCAGGAAUGUGUGACAUGCAUCAGAUGGUGGCAGAAUUGAUUCAUUAUCAGGCAACCCCCUCACAUAUGGUGAU